AGUUAACUUCAGACGGCGUGGGCAUAACACCUGGCCCCCUUUAAGCUCGUUUUAAAAACGUUACUCGGUUUCACUCGGCGGAGGUGCUGGCUUGAACAGACAAGUUCAGAGAAUUGCCAACCGAAGGCAUAAUUCUCCAGAGGCCUUCACGGGGUGUAAGAGAAGAGAGGAGCUAGACUCCUUGCUUGGGGACACACCCUUGGUAUAGGAUACUUGAGGAGGUUUUCUCAAACAAUGAUGAAGGCCUUAUUAACAAAAAGUUACCCAAAGAACUUCUGUUAAGAAUGCUGUUCAGCUUGUUGUUAAAUUUUACUUGGUCUAAUCCAGAAUGUACUAAGUAUGUACAUAGCAUUGGUCUGGAUUCUUUUUGUAAUGUGAGUCUGUAAGGGGAAUUUAAAAUAUUGCCACUACAGAUCUUCUCCAACUCAAUAUUUUCCUUCUUGGAUAUAGUAACUUUGUGCCGAUGUGCACAGAUUUCCAAGGCUUGGAACAUCUUAGCCCUGGAUGGAAGCAACUGGCAAAGAAUAGAUCUUUUUAACUUUCAAACAGAUGUAGAGG
Molecule: small RNA, 558 nt
Filed under: Pongo abelii (Sumatran orangutan)
Lineage: Eukaryota; Metazoa; Chordata; Mammalia; Primates; Hominidae
Description: processed transcript
Source: RNAcentral